RNAcentral lists this small RNA (362 nucleotides) under Pongo abelii (Sumatran orangutan). Its description in RNAcentral is "processed transcript". Lineage: Eukaryota; Metazoa; Chordata; Mammalia; Primates; Hominidae. The record is from RNAcentral.
GGCUACCCCGGCUACUCCUGCUCAGCAUGGCUGCUUUGGCGACUCUUCUCUUCAGCAGGGACUGGCUGCCAACCCCUCCGGCUACGGGCCCCUUACAGAGCUCCCAGACUGGUCAUAUGCGGAUGGCCGCCCUGGUCCCCCAAUGAAAGGCCAGCUUCGAAGAAAAGCUGAAAGGGAGACGUUUGCAAGACGAGUUGUACUGCUGUCACAGGAAAUGGACGCUGGAUUACAAGCAUGGCAGCUCAGGCAGCAGAAGUUGCAGGAAGAACAAAGGAAGCAGGAAAAUGCUCUUAAACCCAAAGGGACUUCACUGAAGAGCCCACUUCCAAGUCAAUAAAAAGCAACUCCUGCCUCCCUUCCUC